This 26-nucleotide non-coding RNA is filed under the name Cricetulus griseus (Chinese hamster). The record is from RNAcentral. Lineage: Eukaryota; Metazoa; Chordata; Mammalia; Rodentia; Cricetidae.
AACUAGCAGCUCUCUACCUAUAGGGG